Molecule: ribosomal RNA, 253 nt
Filed under: uncultured bacterium
Lineage: Bacteria
Description: partial 16S ribosomal RNA
Rfam family: Bacterial small subunit ribosomal RNA
Source: RNAcentral
UACGUAGGCAGCAAGCGUUGUUCGGAAUUACUGGGCGUAAAGAGUGUGUAGGCGGUGUUCUAAGUUUGUCGUGAAAUCUCCCGGCUUAACUGGGAGGGUGCGGCGAAAACUGGAAUGCUAGAGGAUGGGAGAGGUAAGCGGAAUUCCUGGUGUAGCGGUGAAAUGCGUAGAUAUCAGGAGGAACACCGGUGGCGAAGGCGGUUCUCUGGGCCUGACCUGACGCUGAGGAGCGAAAGCGUGGGGAGCGAACAGG